GAUGAACGCUAGCGGCAGGCCUAAUACAUGCAAGUCGAACGGUAACAUGAGAGCUUGCUCUUGAUGACGAGUGACGCACGGGUGCGUAACGCGUAUGCAACCUACCCUUUACAGGGGGAUAGCCCGGAGAAAUUCGGAUUAAUACCCCAUAGUACUAUAAUGUAGCAUUAUAUAAUAGUUAAAGAUUUAUUGGUAAAGGAUGGGCAUGCGUGACAUUAGUUAGUUGGUAAGGUAACGGCUUACCAAGACUAUGAUGUCUAGGGGUUCUGAGAGGAAGAUCCCCCACACUGGUACUGAGACACGGACCAGACUCCUNACGGGAGGCAGCAGUAGGGAAUAUUGGUCAAUGGACGAGAGUCUGAACCAGCCAUGCCGCGUGCAGGAAGACGGCCUUCUGGGUUGUAAACUGCUUUUAUAUAGGAACAAAUAGACCAUGCGUGGUAAGUUGAGUGUACUAUAUGAAUAAGNACCGCUAACU
RNAcentral lists this ribosomal RNA (478 nucleotides) under uncultured bacterium. RNAcentral describes it as "bacterial SSU rRNA". It matches the Rfam family "Bacterial small subunit ribosomal RNA", at positions 28 to 502 of the family's 1533-position model. The record is from RNAcentral.